AGAGUUUGAUCCUGGCUCAGAUCAACGCNNGGCGGCGCGCCUAACACAUGCAAGUCGCACGAGAAAGCGGGAGCAAUCUCGCAAGUACAGUGGCGUACGGGUGAGUAACACGUGGAUCAUCUACCCUGGAGUGGGGAAUAACGCUGGGAAACCGGCGCUAAUACCGCAUAUUCCCGAGAGGGGAAAGCAGCAAUGCGCUCGAGGAGGAGUCCGCGGCCGAUUAGCUAGUUGGUAGGGUAAAAGCCUACCAAGGCUGUGAUCGGUAGCCGGCCUGAGAGGGCACACGGCCACACUGGCACUGAAACACGGGCCAGACUCCUACGGGAGGCAGCAGUGGGGAAUCUUGCACAAUGGGGGAAACCCUGAUGCAGCGACGCCGCGUGAGCGAUGAAGCCCUUCGGGGUGUAAAGCUCUUUCGGCAGGGAAGAUUAUGACGGUACCUGCAGAAGCAGCUGCGGCUAACUACGUGCCAGCAGCCGCGGUAAUACGUAGGCAGCAAGCGUUGUUCGGAGUUACUGGGCGUAAAGGGUGUGUAGGCGGCCUGUUAAGUUCCGUGUGAAAUCUCCCGGCUCAACCGGGAGGGUGCGCGGAAAACUGGCGGGCUAGAGUGCGGGAUGGGAGAGUAGAAUUCCUGGUGUAGCGGUGAAAUGCGUAGAUAUCAGGAGGAAUACCGGUGGUGUAGACGGCUCUCUGGACCGCAACUGACGCUGAAACACGAAAGCGUGGGUAGCAAACAGGAUUAGAUACCCNNGUAGUCC
RNAcentral lists this ribosomal RNA (758 nucleotides) under uncultured bacterium. Its description in RNAcentral is "bacterial SSU rRNA". It matches the Rfam family "Bacterial small subunit ribosomal RNA", at positions 8 to 796 of the family's 1533-position model. The record is from RNAcentral.